UCUCUCUUUGCCUACCACCAUCCAUGUAAGAUAUGACUUGCUCCUCCUUGCCUUCCCACCAUGAUUGUGAGACUUCCCUAGCCACAUGGAACUGCUCAUAAGCAGAAAGGACUUGCCUUGUCUCAGAUGAGAUGUUGGACUAUGGACUUUCGAGUUAAUGCUGAAAUGAGUUAAGACUUUGGGGGACUGUGUUGGGAAGGCAUGACUGGUUUUGAAAUGUGCUGUCAUGAGAUUUGGUAGGGGCCAGAUGAGGAAUGAUAUGGUUUGGCUGCAUCCCCACCCAACUCUCAUUUUGAAUUGUAACUCCCACAAUUCCCACGUGUCAUGGGAGGAAUCUGGUGGGAGGUAAUUGAAUCUCGGGCGUGGGUCUUUCCCAUGCUGUUCUCAUGAUAGUGAAUAAGUCUCAUGAGAUCUGGUUUUAAAAAUGGGAGUUUCCCUGCACAAGUUCUCUCUCUUUGCCUGCCACCAUCCAUGUAAGAUGUGACUUGCUCCUCCUUUCCUUCCACCAUGAUUGUGAGGCUUCCCCAGCCACGUGGAAAUGUAAGUCCAUUAAACCUCUUUCUUUUGUAAAUUGCUGAGUCAUGAAUAUGUCUUUAUCAGCAGUGUGAAAACAGACUAAUACAAGGACCUUAUCAAACAAGUAACAAAAGUUGAAGGAGGUCUCUGGGUGAAGGGUACACUAGUGGCUUUUUUAUCCUUCUUGCAAUUUUUUUGGUAAGUUUUAAAUUGUUUAAAAAUAAAAACUAUUUGUAUAAAAUGUUAUGUUCUAACUGAAAUAGCACUUAAUGCUAAAAAUUCUGUCAUCCAAGAGGUAUAAUUUGGAUUACAUUUAUUCCACCUUAUUAUGCAUUGAAAGUCUAUGGAUUAUUGAUGAAGUUGCUCUUCCUAAUGUCAGUGAUAAUUUUCAGGCCACUAAAGAACAUUUUUCAGUCUUUCUCUUACUAGACCUCUCAGUAGCAUUUGACACUUGGUCCUCAUAUAUGUAUUCUAUAUGAUCAAACCAGGAUGACUUUUGUGGCUUUCAAAGACUCUGAAUAUUCUGACUCCUGACUCUCACUGCAAGGUAAAUUCAUAUCUCUUUUAGGCAGAUUUAGGCAUAGAGAGAUCCCUAACCCUAAAAAUUGUAGGAUACAUUCACCCACUUAGAUUGUCCCUCUUCUGAAAUUUACAAAUUAAAACAAUAUUAAUUAAACCAUUAAAUAUGUGUAAGAAAAUUAUACAUGAGUUUUACUUUUUCCGUAAUAUAUACUUUACUCUUCAAGGAAAUUUAUCAUAUUUAGCAAUAGUUCUGCCAUGUUAUUGUGUGGCUACUUUGCUAGUUUUCAGAGUUAAUACUUAAGAUGUCUAUCCUUGGUCACCAUGUUUCAGCCAUACUCUUCUCUAUGCAUCUCAGGAAAACCAAACCCUUUCUUCCUAUUUUUCUCCCUUGCACUUUUCAUGGCUGAGUUAUCCUUACGUUGAAAGUAAACUUUCAACAUAGACUUGUAUACCAAGCUAAAUAAACAGGGAAGAUGGUAAAAUUAAGAUAUUUUCAGAAAAACAAAAAAUGAAAAAAUUUUAAAUUAAAAAUGUAAAAAUAGAAGCACCUUAGUACCAACACAUUCCCAUUAAAAGCCAGCUAAACUAAAGGAUGUGUGUCAAAGAAUGGAACUACGUCCAGAAAAGAGAGAAAUACAAGAUGACAUAGUAACAGAAGAAAUAUGACAAUGUGGUAAAAUCUAAAACUAUAUUGACUACAUAAACUAAAAUGAUAAAAGUGAUAAUGACUAAUAUUAAAGUUAAAAAGGAGAACUAAAACACAGGAUAAAAGUGGACGAUAGCAUGGUAGGGUGCGAUUAGAAGUAAGUUUCAAAUACUAUGAUUAGGAUUAUGUUCAGGAGGAAGAUCAAGAUCAUAAGCUAUAUUGGAAUUUAAUAUGCAUUUUUGAAAAAAAAUAAGGAUAAUCCCUAAACUACUAGAUAUGAAGUACAUACAUUUCAAAGCAAUUGUAGGGGAAAUCAAUAUUUUAAAAGUAUUUGAUCAACCUAAAGGAGGCGGGGGCACGGGGGAAGAAGGAAUAAAGGAAAAUCAAAAAGAAAAAGCAAAAUAAGAUGGUAGAAAUAUAUUAAGAAAUAUACUGAAAAGACAGAACUAUUGUUUUUUUAAAAUCUAGCAAAAUACUAUUUCUAAGAAGCAUGUCUAAAACACAGGAACUAAGAAAAUUUGAAAGUAAAAGAAUUGAGAAAGGUAACCAAGGCAAAUACAACUUUUUAAGAAAAAGAAAAUUAGUAUGGUUACAAUAAUAUACCAAUCUUAGUGCUAUAGUAUAAAUGUAUUGAGAUAAUUUGUAAUAUACAGUAGUGUUACUGUGUGGAGAGGUUCAGGCUUCAAGGUGCUGGUGUCUGAAUUUGAUCCUAUUUAUUGCCCCAGUUGUGUUAUUAAGUUAUUGUGCAUCAUGUUUUUCUUCUUCUCUAAAAUAGAGGAAAUAAUGGUUUGUAUCUCCUAGUAUUAUUGUGAGGAUGAACUGAGUAAAUACAUGUGAAAUUACUGAGCAUAGAGUAACACUCUGAAGCACAGAGAACUCACUGAUACUGAGAAAAAUGAAGUGACAAAAAAUAUUUUAAGAUGACACAAGGAAAAAGGCACUCUGAGAGAUAAGGAAGGGGAGAUGAUAGAAGCCUUCAUCAAUUCCUCCGGAGUAUCUGUGAAUCACAAACCUGGAAGAACUCCUGGCUCAAAGGGACUUGAUUAGUUGAUUAUAGUUCUGCUUCCUCUGCCUCUGAAAACUCACCAAAGUAACAGUGAAGUGAUUUUUAAAAACUCUAAAGGCUGAACCGUCAAAGAAAUAUGAGUACAACUGUUGGGUGAGAGAUUUCAAUGAAGUUUUUAAAGAUAAUGAAGUCGAUGAGAAGUGAAAAUGGAAAUGGUGAAAAACUACUUUAGUACUUGUUGGGAGACAAUGCCAGAAAGGCUCAAAAUCAAGAGGCAGAAUGUAUCAUGAAAAGCAGCAGAUUGUAAGGUAUAGAAGAUAAAACUUGGAGAUUGGCUGGGGCCCCCUACACCACUCAAGGCAGCCAUGUAACCUCCUGUUCCUCCCUAAAAGAUUGCAAGAGUAAUUAUCAGAGAAGCUGAAACUGGGAAUCUCAAUUGGAUUCAGUAUUUGGUGGGGAAGGGUAUGUUUGAAAUUGUGUAGGGGUGAAAAUGGUAUAAUUACCAAUGUUACUGUAAAAUAGACAGUAAUUUGCGGUAACACAAAUCGCACCAGUUGUGUACUGAGUUACUUAAAAAUUGUGACUCACA
Molecule: long non-coding RNA, 3279 nt
Organism: Pongo pygmaeus (Bornean orangutan)
Lineage: Eukaryota; Metazoa; Chordata; Mammalia; Primates; Hominidae
Exons: 3
Source: RefSeq, a predicted model, not a curated record